Marasmius tenuissimus is the source of this 99-nucleotide non-coding RNA. The record is from the annotation of a GenBank genome assembly. NCBI's taxonomy places the organism in Eukaryota, Fungi, Basidiomycota, Agaricomycetes, Agaricales, Marasmiaceae.
GACUGUAUAGCUUAACGGUAAGGCAUGCGGCACUCAGUGGUAUUUCAGGAUUAUCGCGAAUUCUUGCCGCACAUCCGAGUUCGACUCUCGGUGCAGUCA